UCUCCGUAGGUGAACCUGCGGAGGGAUCAUUACUGAGUGAGGGCUCACGCCCGACCUCCAACCCUUUGUGAACACAUCUUUUUGCUUCGGGGGCGACCCUGCCGGCACCCUGUCGCCGGGCGCCCCCGAAGGUCUCCAAACACUGCAUCUUUGCGUCGGAGUUUAAAAAAAAUCAAACAAAACUUUCAACAACGGAUCUGUUGGUUCUGGCAUCGAUGAAGAACGCAGC
Molecule: unclassified non-coding RNA, 229 nt
Filed under: uncultured fungus
Lineage: Eukaryota; Fungi
Description: sequence contains ITS1, 5.8S rRNA gene
Rfam family: 5.8S ribosomal RNA (bases 181-229)
Source: RNAcentral